GGGGAAUUUUGGACAAUGGGCGCAAGCCUGAUCCAGCAAUGCCGCGUGCAGGAUGAAGGCCUUCGGGUUGUAAACUGCUUUUGUACGGAACGAAAAGCCUCUCUCUAAUACAGGGGGGUGAUGACGGUACCGUAAGAAUAAGCACCGGCUAACUACGUGCCAGCAGCCGCGGUGAUACGUAGGGUGCGAGCGUUGUCCGGAAUUAUUGGGCGUAAAGAGCUUGUAGGCGGUUUUGUAAGACAGUGGUGAAAUCCCCGGGCUCAACCUGGGAACUGCCAUUGUGACUGCAAGGCUGGAGUGCGGCAGAGGGGGAUGGAAUUCCGCGUGUAGCAGUGAAAUGCGUAGAUAUGCGGAGGAACACCGAUGGCGAAGGCAAUCCCCUGGGCCUGCACUGACGCUCAUGCACGAAAGCGUGGGGAGCAAACA
This 426-nucleotide ribosomal RNA is filed under the name uncultured Comamonas sp. RNAcentral describes it as "bacterial SSU rRNA". It matches the Rfam family "Bacterial small subunit ribosomal RNA", at positions 356 to 774 of the family's 1533-position model. Lineage: Bacteria; Pseudomonadati; Pseudomonadota; Betaproteobacteria; Burkholderiales; Comamonadaceae. The record is from RNAcentral.